AUCUUUGUGCAGUGGCAGUAUCUUAGCCAAUGAGGUUUAUCCGAGGCACGAUUAUUGCUAAUUGAAAACUUUUCCCAAAGGAAACAGACUAUAUAUAUGCUCAUAGCAGUACAAUCUAUAAUUUGGAAGCAACCCAGGUG
Erinaceus europaeus (western European hedgehog) is the source of this 140-nucleotide non-coding RNA. The record is from Rfam. Lineage: Eukaryota; Metazoa; Chordata; Mammalia; Eulipotyphla; Erinaceidae.